Molecule: microRNA, 23 nt
Filed under: Saccoglossus kowalevskii
Lineage: Eukaryota; Metazoa; Hemichordata; Enteropneusta; Harrimaniidae
Description: Sko-Mir-252-P2_3p* (star (passenger))
Source: RNAcentral
CCCUGUCGUACUUGUGCUUAACA